RNAcentral lists this microRNA precursor (78 nucleotides) under Schistosoma mattheei. Its description in RNAcentral is "mir-3492 microRNA precursor family". It matches the Rfam family "mir-3492 microRNA precursor family". The record is from Rfam by way of RNAcentral. Lineage: Eukaryota; Metazoa; Platyhelminthes; Trematoda; Strigeidida; Schistosomatidae.
AGUUUUCGGAAUCCGUGCUGAGAUUUCGUCAGACAACAACCCAUUAGGGAUGAUCACACUUCCAAGAUAAGUAAAGCU